GCAACCGUAGCUCAUCAGCGUAGAGCGUGGCGCUUAGCCAAGGUCGCGGGUGCAAGUCCCGCCGGUUGCA
RNAcentral lists this transfer RNA (70 nucleotides) under Lactobacillus phage phiAT3. It matches the Rfam family "tRNA". Rfam says of the family: Transfer RNA (tRNA) molecules are approximately 80 nucleotides in length. Their secondary structure includes four short double-helical elements and three loops (D, anti-codon, and T loops). The record is from Rfam by way of RNAcentral. Lineage: Duplodnaviria; Heunggongvirae; Uroviricota; Caudoviricetes.